Non-coding RNA from Castor canadensis (American beaver), 280 nucleotides. The record is from RefSeq and is a predicted model, not a curated record. Lineage: Eukaryota; Metazoa; Chordata; Mammalia; Rodentia; Castoridae.
GGGUGUUGGGGAACCAGAAGACCCUGCAGGCAGCUCUGUCUCGGCGAGCCUGCACCCGGAAACCAUCCUGCGCGCGCCCGCGCCCGCGGACGGCUUGCACUGGGAGCGCGCAGACGCUCUGCCACUGGGGUGUGCGUCUGCAGGCACAGGCGCUGCCCUGAGCGGGGGAUGAGCCCCCAUCUGCUGUGAACCUCUACUCACCUCAAGCCUCAGGAGACACUCAGUCAAGACCAGGAGAAUUGACCAGAUGAGCACAAUCAACCCCCAGCCAAGAGUGAAA